GGAAUAUAGCUCAGUUGGCAGGUUGCUUGCCUUGCAUGCACAGGGCCCUGAGUUCAAUCCCCAGUGCCA
Molecule: transfer RNA, 69 nt
Filed under: Marmota monax (woodchuck)
Lineage: Eukaryota; Metazoa; Chordata; Mammalia; Rodentia; Sciuridae
Description: tRNA.Ala
Source: RNAcentral